CACGUAGUUAGCCGGGGCUCCUUAGUCAGGUACCGUCAUUUUCUUCCCUGCUGAUAGAGCUUUACAUACCGAAAUACUUCUUCACUCACGCGGCGUCGCUGGAUCAGGGUUCCCCCCAUUGUCCAAUAUUCCCCACCUGCUGCCUCCCGUACGGAGUUUGGGCCGUGUCUCAGUCCCAACUGUGGCCGAUCACCCUCUCAGGUCGGCUACUGAUCGUCGCCUUGGUAGGCCUUUACCCCACCAACUAGCUAAUCAGACGCGGGUCCAUCUUGCACCACCUCAGUUUUACCCCUGUACCAUGCGGUACUGUGGUCUUAUGCGGUAUUAGCAGUCGUUUCCAACUGUUGUCCCCCUGUGCAAGGUAGGUUACCCACGCGUUACUCACCCGUCCGCCACUCAGUCUGUUAUUCUUCCACCCGAAGGUCUCCAAACAACAGCUUCGUUCGACUUGCAUGUGUUAAGCACGCCGCCAGCGUUCAUCCUGAGCCAGGAUCAAACUCU
Molecule: ribosomal RNA, 501 nt
Filed under: uncultured Lachnospiraceae bacterium
Lineage: Bacteria; Bacillati; Bacillota; Clostridia; Lachnospirales; Lachnospiraceae
Description: partial 16S ribosomal RNA
Source: RNAcentral